This 3168-nucleotide unclassified non-coding RNA is filed under the name Leishmania donovani. RNAcentral's name for it is "gene:LdHU3.34.3960(CDS-product:hypothetical_prote in_conserved)". Lineage: Eukaryota; Euglenozoa; Kinetoplastea; Trypanosomatida; Trypanosomatidae. The record is from RNAcentral.
CAGCACAAACCACUGCGUAUCUUCAGCAACACCACGCGUGUACCUUCCAGCGGGACACCACGUUCGUCCGUUACACUUCCGCACAUCCCCACAACUCCCUUUCGUCACCUUCCCCCCAAAAAGGCGAUGAGCGUGCUUGAGCUCCCCUGGGUGAGCGUCCUCGGCGGCCAUUCGGGGGCUUUUGAAGAUGCGCCGCAGAAGUUUGUCGCGAAGGUUCCUGCGACAGCGACGGUGGCGCCUUUGGUCUCAACCUUUUCGUCUCGAUUCACGAAAAAGUUCGACGGGGAUGACUGGAAGGACCUUGUCGCGUCCGUUCCUUCGCUGCUCUAUCAGACAUUUGUCUACGAGGCGAGCAUUGCGCUGGCGGUGCCUCAGGAGGCCAUCACAGACGUCCAAUUUCGCCUUGGUAGCCUCUACGUGACCUUCCACGUCACCCAUGAUGAAGACAUCAGCCAAGAGGAGAUGGCCCACCGCAUUGAGGAGUACCCGUUCCGUGAGAUGUGGCGCCUGUACAACCAGCGCGACGGCGCCCCGGACGGCUUGGAUGCUGCCCUGCAGCGCCUCAAGGAUGUCGAGAUGGAGCUCAAGGACAAGAAUCACGAGUUGGAGAAGGAGCGCGGUGACAAGGAGCAGAAGGUGAACGAACUCAAGAAGCAGCUGCAGGCCCUUCAAGAGGAGCUUGCCGGCCCCGUGGCUGAGCGCGAGCAGAGUCUGCUGCAACAGCUGGGUAAAGAGCAGGGUGCUCGCAAAAAGGCGGAAACCCAGCUCAAGGUCGUUGAUGACGAGAGGAAGAAGUUGCUGGAGGCCGUGAAGCAGGAGAAGCUGCGCGCGGAGAAGAGCGCGCAGCGCCACAACGACCUCAUCGCUGCCAUCAUCCAGGAGAACAAGAAGGAAAAGGAGGCGAAGGAACGUGAGCACAAUGAGCAGAUGGAGGUAAAAGACUACAUUAUUGAAAACCUCAAGUCUCAGCUGCGCACCCACACGAACGGCAGCGCGUCUCCGCGCAAUAGUAUUGUCGACGUUGACCAGACCGACGAGUUCAACAGGCUGAUGGAGCGCAUGGAGGACAUGGCAGCAGUGCUGCAGCGCACGCAGGAGUCGGAGAACCAGGCUCGCGCGCAGAUUCAGCGGCUGUCUGAUCUGCUCAAGGAGUCGGAAGAGGCGCGCCAGGCGGAGUCGGUAUCGUACGACAACAACGUGGCUGCUCUCACCCAGCAGAUCCACUCGUACCGCGACACGAAGAUUGCGGAGGACCACGAGCGCCGUGCUAAAGAAGACCGCCAGCGCGGACGUGGGCCGGUGAGCGAGGCUUUGAAGGAGAACGCGACGAUUGUGCGUCAGUACACCACCAGCCUUGAGAAUCUCAUCGUCUCCCUGCAGGAUCGCCUGCACGCUAUCAGCGAGGAGUACAACAACUACUUGACAGAGGCGGAAGCGGGCGUUUCGCAUGAGCGUCAGAUUCUUGUUGAGCAAGACGAGGAUAGCAAGAAGACCCGCCAGACCUUCCGCUCCAGCUCGAUUGCGCUGCAGAAGAUCUACUGGGGCUCUCGCGAGCCGGAGGCGCAGCAGAUCAUCCAGAACCUCGACGCCGCCGCCUCCAACGCCGAGAAGUCGAGUGCGGCGGUGCGCGUGGUGAUCGCGAUGCUGGACUCGAAGGCGCGCGCUUUCGGUGAUCACCGGAAUUGGAUGGAGCAGCAGCAUAGGAUGAUGCGCGAGCUCUUGACCUCGCUGCGUGACCUGAACCAGCGAGCCUUUGACCGGCAGCGCGCACUGAUGGACGAGAAGGUUCUCAAGGCGUAGUCUUUGCUCUGCUGUCUGCUUCCCGCCUACUCCUCGGCCUCUUUUUCUGUCUAUCGAGUGCACGUCCACUUCACUCUUCCCUGCGUGCGUGUGCGUGACCAUGAGGACGGUGACGGCAGAUCAAGGAUGAAAAAGGAAAUUUAGAAGACACGCGCACACGCAUACACAUAGAUAACAAAAACGAGAAGAGUUAGCUGCUGUCGCUGUGUGUGCGCGUGUGCAGUUGUCUCCUUUUCAGAUUCGCCGUCCUCUCUCUUCGCCGCUGUAUGCCGAUGACAACCCAUGCGAGCUUGUUCCUUUUCAAUCCCCCUCCCCACAGGCCGUUCUAACCCUCCCCCUUACAUUGUUUCCUUCUUUUCUUUACAGUUUUCUUCGUUUGUGGUUCUUUUCCUUUUUUCGAGCUUGGCCCCGGCAUAGUUCACCAGGCCGAUGCACCUCUCCCUCCCAUCAUGCUGGCGUUGUUGUCUGUGUUUCUGUGUGUCUGUGUGCGUACACAACAGCAUCAAAACAUGCCGAAAAGGAAGAAAAAGCGGUCGGAACGACGAGACGAAAAGCCUGCCGCUUCCGCUGCUUUUGAGUUAGUGCUGUUCAGCCUUCUGAGGGAUGCGUGUUUGUCUUGCGUCACAGGCACGUUUGUGUUUCUGCUCUUGCUUGUCUUCCUGUUUUCCGCCUUUUCUGAAAAGCACGGCGGCGGUGUGUGUGUGUGGGCGUGGGGGGGGGUUGGGCAAGGACCAUGUGCACGCGCACAUGUCGUCUGUAACCAACUACGCAGCCACGAUCUCUCGGUUCUUUUGCCUUUCUUUCCUUCUUUUUUUUUCCUGUUAACCGUCACUGACUACACAUAGACAGUCCACACACACACACGCACAUAUGCCCGCGGGCGACUUAGCGUAGGCGCAGCGGCUCGAGAACGAGAGAGAAGGGCAGUAGAUGGGCUGAAGCCAAAUUUUCACCGGCAUAUAAGCCGGAAGGAAUGAAGCGCGUGAGCAACGAAACUCUACCACCACGAUCAGUACAAAAAGAGCGCUGCGCUCAUGUGCACGAGAGGCCCGGGAAGGGAGGCAAGUCUGGAAUCGAGGGAGACAGUAGAGGAGGUGCGACAUUAACUCCUUCCCCGAGGAACGCACACGCGCGCACACACAUGCGACCUUUUUGUUCUUCCCUCCGCUUUAUCCCGUCGUCUCCACACAAGGAUCCAGAAAAGAGGAGUAACGCGCUUUUUAUUUUAUCCCCUCUCUCUGCUCGGCACUGACCUACUCCUUCUUGCCUGUUUCUCCAUUACAUCGUAGAGUAUCUCUGUUUGCGCCUCCACCCCCUUCUGCUCCCGAAACACACACACACACACACACACAUACACCUACUUUUAAG